GACCUCAUCAUUUAUGGGGAGACCCUGGCGUCACGGCAAAAACAUAAUGAGUGGCUACAGGAAAAUUUUGCGACUGCUGACCCAGAAGAUUUGCGGCCACGUCUGCUCGCAACAGCCAAGGAACGGCACGAGUGUCUUCGGCGAAUCACGUUGUGAGAGGUGCUCCUGCGGUAUCCUUUCCUAGCAACGGUACACUCGCUGCUGAUGGAGUUCAAUAUAUUGUUCAAAAGAACAAUUGUCGGCAGUAUUGAGCAUGGUUGCAGCCGUCUGUGCAGGAUGAGGUUGUGCAAUUCUCCGCCAUGGCUUCUGAGAAUGGUGUCCUUGGCGUCCUCAACUUCAUUGCGGGCCUCUGCAAUGAAACACUUGAUGCUAUCUUAACAGACGCAAGUGCCUCAAGACAGGGGAGCUAUAAACAUAUACAAUAGCUGGACUGGUGCACAGUUCUGUUAAUCUUGUUUUGGACUGCAUGUGGGGCCUGUUUCUGCUUAUCAUAACUUUCUGGGGGCACUGCGGCUCUGCUCUUCCCUCGCUAGAUCGGAGCUGCUGACCCUUUUGCUCAAGGGAACCUAAACACACUGAUUUCAUCUGACAUCUGUUGCUGGAAACCAAUGCUUAGCGAAAAUUUAAUGAACAUGUUUUGUGCAAUCCCCGUGUAUUAGUUAGCUUUUAUUUAAUGUCUUGGUUAUUGUAUUUCUGAAUUGUGUGCUUUGCGCACAUAUGCUGCGACUUCUAGUAAGACAAAUUUAUUUCCAUAUCUUAACAUGCCCCCUUUUACGAAAACCUAAA
Molecule: non-coding RNA, 786 nt
Organism: Dermacentor andersoni
Lineage: Eukaryota; Metazoa; Arthropoda; Arachnida; Ixodida; Ixodidae
Source: RefSeq, a predicted model, not a curated record